CUUUCUCUGUGAAGCUGCCAUGAAUUUGCACAGCGGCUCAGCGUGGGCUAUCAUAAAAGACAACGGCGCACCAGAGAAAAACAAACUCAGAAAGAAAAAUCGUCUUUUAUUUCGUUCUAAGGCGAACCGGCACCUGACAGCUAUAUGGGCGACUCGCUAAUAUAAUGCUAAUUGUAAGGCAAACAGGUCAGUGACAUUUGUUGAAGCGGUCCUGGGGAGUGUUUGCAUAAUACUCCAGAUUUAUUUAACCCACUGCAGUGACAUCCACAGCCGUCACAGACGAGGCUCCGGAGGUGCAAGAAUUACAGGUUUGAAUUCCCGUCUUCGUUUGCAGCCGAUGGCGUGGUAUUUGUUUUUCAUCAGCGACUGUUUGGUUUGGCUGAAUGUUUCCACAGGCAGAGCGGGGGGAGGGCAGGAGAGAGAGAGAGAGAGGAAGAUUGUGGAUUUCAUUGUGCACGCCAACAACAGGCUCCAGCGGACCCAGCGGGCAGUGAUUGGGCCGCGGCCAUCGAAGCCUCUCUGAGAGAAAAGGUGCCAAGUGCUUGUCCAUUAUAACAUGUCCUGUACUGCUUGAAAACCCCCUCACUCAGGAGUGCUCUUUGAGUGCGGUGGGGAUACAUCAUGGGCAGAGUGUUUUUUUGACAUUUUCUGAUAUUGCUAGAAACCAUUUUUCCUAACCAGAGCUGACGAAGGAGGACUCGGACUGUUGGGAAGCCAUGAAAACCUUAUGGUGAGUGGAAGUCCAGGAUGGACAAGGAAAACUGCGCACAUCAAAACUCUGAGUGUGAAUAAACAACCACACGAUCUUUGACGGUCGCUGGUUCAACUCUCAGCCAUGACCCUUUGCUGCAGUUGUCCUGUCA
Molecule: non-coding RNA, 863 nt
Organism: Xyrichtys novacula (pearly razorfish)
Lineage: Eukaryota; Metazoa; Chordata; Actinopteri; Labriformes; Labridae
Source: the annotation of a GenBank genome assembly